CACAGUCAAUGUGUAUCUGUGUGUGUAUGUAUCUGACACACAGAUACAUACACACUGUGUCACGGUGUGUAUAUCUAUGUGCCACUGUGUGUAUAUCUGUGUGUCAGAUACAUACACACACAGAUACACAUUGACA
RNAcentral lists this microRNA precursor (136 nucleotides) under Pelobates cultripes (western spadefoot toad). Lineage: Eukaryota; Metazoa; Chordata; Amphibia; Anura; Pelobatidae. The record is from RNAcentral.